RNAcentral lists this ribosomal RNA (855 nucleotides) under Triticum aestivum (bread wheat). RNAcentral's name for it is "partial small subunit ribosomal RNA". Lineage: Eukaryota; Viridiplantae; Streptophyta; Magnoliopsida; Poales; Poaceae. The record is from RNAcentral.
AUGCUGUUGUUCAUCCUGAAGGUGAGCUUGCCAUGGCAGAGGAAGAUUGCUGCCCUUGAGCGCACCAGCAUGCGGAGGAAGAUUCCUCCCCGUGUUCGUCCCAUCACUUGUGAGUGGGUCUACAAGAUUAGGACUCGCUCCGAUGGUUCUCUUGAGCGCUACAAAGUUCGUCUUGUGGCUCGUGACUCUCAGCAGGAGCAUGGUCGUGAUUACAAUGAGACUUUUGCUUCUAUGACCCAUAUGACCACUGUUCGCACACUUCCUGCUGUGGCCUCUUUCUGCCAUUGGUCUGUCUCUCAUCUUGAUGUUAAGAAUGCUUUUCUUAAUGGUGAGUCGCAUGAGGAGGUUUACAUGCAACCACCACUCGGGUAUUCUGUUCCUGAUGGCAUGGUAUGCCAUCUUUGUCGCUCUCUCUAUGGCCUUAAACAAGCCCCUUGUACAUGGUUUGAGCGUUUCACCUCUGUGGUGACUGUCGCUGGUUUUUCGGCGAGCACUCAUGAUCCUACGUUGUUUUUCCACCUUUCUUCUCGUGGUUGGACUCUUCUGCUUCUAUAUGUUGAUGACAUGAUCAUCACUAGUGACGACCCUGAGUACAUUGCCUUUGUUAAGGCACGUCUUAGUGAGCAGAUUCUUAUGUGUGAUCUUGGCCCUCUUCGUUACUUUCUUGGGGUUGAGGUUUCCUCUACCUCUGAUGGCUUCUUUACUUCCCAUGAGAAGUAUAUCCAUGAUCUUCUUGCUUGUGCUCCUCUUACUGAUGAGCGCACUGUUGAGACUCCCAUGGAGCUCAAUGUUCACCUCCGUGCUUUUGAUGGUGAUCCCUUGUUUGAUCGUAUGCGUUAUUGUCAUCUUGUAUGA